RNAcentral lists this ribosomal RNA (253 nucleotides) under uncultured bacterium. RNAcentral's name for it is "partial 16S ribosomal RNA". It matches the Rfam family "Bacterial small subunit ribosomal RNA", at positions 524 to 776 of the family's 1533-position model. The record is from RNAcentral.
UACGGAGGGUGCAAGCGUUAUCCGGAUUCACUGGGUUUAAAGGGUGCGUAGGUUGAUAGGUAAGUCAGUGGUGAAAUACUCCGACUCAAUCGGAGAACUGCCGUUGAUACUAUCUAUCUUGAAUACGGUGGAGGCGGGCAGAAUGCGUCAUGUAGUGGUGAAAUACUUAGAGAUCGGGAGGAACACCAGAGGCGAAGGCGGCUCACUGGACAGUCACUGACACUCAACUGCGAAAGCGUGGGGAGCAAACAGG